This 253-nucleotide ribosomal RNA is filed under the name uncultured Paracoccaceae bacterium. Its description in RNAcentral is "uncultured Rhodobacteraceae bacterium partial 16S ribosomal RNA". It matches the Rfam family "Bacterial small subunit ribosomal RNA", at positions 524 to 776 of the family's 1533-position model. The record is from RNAcentral. Lineage: Bacteria; Pseudomonadati; Pseudomonadota; Alphaproteobacteria; Rhodobacterales; Paracoccaceae.
UACGGAGGGGGCUAGCGUUGUUCGGAAUUACUGGGCGUAAAGCGCACGUAGGCGGACUGAAAAGUUGGAGGUGAAAUCCUGGGGCUCAACCCCAGAACGGCCUUCAAAACUAUCAGUCUGGAGUUCGAGAGAGGUGAGUGGAAUUCCGAGUGUAGAGGUGAAAUUCGUAGAUAUUCGGAGGAACACCAGUGGCGAAGGCGGCUCACUGGCUCGAUACUGACGCUGAGGUGCGAAAGCGUGGGGAGCAAACAGG